AGCACAAUACACAAGUCACUCCCACACAGGUGUGAUCCAUCUGGGUUACCUUGGCCAUGCUCAGCGGGUCAUGUCGGAAUCUCUGUUUGUUUUUCUGCAGUUUUCCGGGCAUCAUCUUGCCUGUGCGAAAGUCAAAACAUGCCAGAUCCACUGUAUUUCCAAGGUAACGGGACAGCUGGGGCUUACUCCGGAACUUCUUUCCUGAAGGACUGGAGGAUAAAAUGGAAAGGACGCUAUCAUUAAAAAGUCAUACUUAUAACAUCAUAAAGAGAACCUAUACUACAUUACCAAUGAUGAGUGCCUAACAUGGCCUGGGGUCAGUGUGUGCACAGGUAGAGUCAAUGAGAGGAAAGCUGAAUUAAAGGGAUAAAAAAAAAUUCAGACAGAACAUGAACUGAGAGGCUGUAAACAUCUUGAUGCAUGCUCAAUCAUCCAGCUGAGUGAAAAACCCUGUUCCUUUGGUUAUAAUCCCAUUUCCAAACAAUCUGAAGUCCUUCAUUCUACCGUGAGAAAGCUUAUUCACAAGUGGAAAACAUUCAAGACAGUCGCCAGUAUUGAGUGGACAUCCCAGCAAA
Neolamprologus brichardi is the source of this 575-nucleotide non-coding RNA. The record is from RefSeq and is a predicted model, not a curated record. Lineage: Eukaryota; Metazoa; Chordata; Actinopteri; Cichliformes; Cichlidae.